GGGAUCAAAGAGAGAAAGAGAAAGAACGAGAAAGAACGAGAACGAGAGAGUUGGCAAUUGGCAGUUGACAUGGUUGUCCGUCGAGUGGUAGAAAAUCAGAAUGAUGCAAUGUUGUUUUUUCUUCUUCUUCUUCUUCGUUUUUUUU
This 145-nucleotide non-coding RNA is filed under the name Fragilariopsis kerguelensis. Lineage: Eukaryota; Bacillariophyta; Bacillariophyceae; Bacillariales; Bacillariaceae. The record is from RNAcentral.